AGUGAACGCUGGCGGUAGGCCUAACACAUGCAAGUCGAACGGCAGCACAGUAAGAGCUUGCUAUUACGGGUGGCGAGUGGCGGACGGGUGAGGAAUACAUCGGAAUCUACUUUUUCGUGGGGGAUAACGUCGGGAAACUUACGCUAAUACCGCAUACGACCUACGGGUGAAAGCAGGGGAUCUUCGGACCUUGCGCGAUUGAAUGAGCCGAUGUCGGAUUAGCUAGUUGGCGGGGUAAAGGCCCACCAAGGCGACGAUCCGUAGCUGGUCUGAGAGGAUGAUGAGCGACACUGGAACUGAGACACGGUCCAGACUCCGACGGGAGGCAGCAGUGGGGAAUAUUGGAAGAAGGGUGCAAGACUGAUCCAGCCAUACCGCGUGGGUGAAGAAGGGCUUCGGGUUGUAAAGCCCUUUUGUUGGGAAAGAAAAGCAGCAGGUAAAUCCCCCGCUGUUCUGACGGUACCCAAAGAAUAAGCACCGGCUAACUUCGUG
Molecule: ribosomal RNA, 492 nt
Filed under: uncultured bacterium
Lineage: Bacteria
Description: partial 16S ribosomal RNA
Rfam family: Bacterial small subunit ribosomal RNA
Source: RNAcentral